RNAcentral lists this ribosomal RNA (253 nucleotides) under uncultured bacterium. RNAcentral's name for it is "partial 16S ribosomal RNA". It matches the Rfam family "Bacterial small subunit ribosomal RNA", at positions 524 to 776 of the family's 1533-position model. The record is from RNAcentral.
UACGAAGGGUGCAAACGUUGCUCGGAAUUAUUGGGCGUAAAGCGCACGUAGGCGGCUUUUCAAGUCGGAUGUGAAAUCCCUCGGCUUAACCAAGGAAGUGCAUCCGAAACUGGAGAGCUUGAGUACUUAAGAGGAUCGCGGAAUUCCCGGUGUAGAGGUGAAAUUUGUAGAUAUCGGGAGGAACACCAGUGGCGAAGGCGGGUCUCUGGACAGUUCCUGACGCUGAGGCACGAAGGUCAGGGGAGCAAACGGG